RNAcentral lists this unclassified non-coding RNA (253 nucleotides) under uncultured Gammaproteobacteria bacterium. RNAcentral describes it as "contains 16S-23S intergenic spacer region". It matches the Rfam family "Bacterial small subunit ribosomal RNA", at positions 524 to 776 of the family's 1533-position model. Lineage: Bacteria; Pseudomonadati; Pseudomonadota; Gammaproteobacteria. The record is from RNAcentral.
UACGGAGGGUGCAAGCGUUAAUCGGAAUUACUGGGCGUAAAGCGCGCGUAGGUGGUUGAUUAAGUCAGAUGUGAAAGCCCAGGGCUCAACCCUGGAACUGCAUUUGAAACUGGUCAACUAGAGUUUUGUAAAGGGUGGUAGAAUUACAGGUGUAGCGGUGAAAUGCGUAGAUAUCUGGAGGAACAUCAGUGGCGAAGGCGACUCCCUGGUCAGUAACUGACGCUCACGUGCGAGAGUGUGGGUAGCGAACAGG